RNAcentral lists this ribosomal RNA (322 nucleotides) under uncultured eukaryote. Its description in RNAcentral is "partial 18S ribosomal RNA". It matches the Rfam family "Eukaryotic small subunit ribosomal RNA", at positions 1470 to 1796 of the family's 1831-position model. The record is from RNAcentral.
UCCUUAGAUGUUCUGGGUCGCACGCGUGCUACACUGAGUGGAUCAGCGGGUCAGGUUGCGCGAAAGUGUUUCCUAAUCUUUAAAUCCGCUCGUGAUGGGGAUUGACGGUUGCAAUUUUCCGUCAUGAACGAGGAAUACCUUGUAAGCGCGGGUCAUCAUCCCGCGCUGAAUACGUCCCUGCCCUUUGUACACACCGCCCGUCGCUCCUACCGAUUGAGUGGUCCGGUGAGGCUUUGGGAUCUGAGCGGAAAGAGCGUUUCGCUGUUUCUGCCCGGAAAACUCAGUCGAACCUUAUCAUUUAGAGGAAGGAGAAGUCGUAACA